RNAcentral lists this small RNA (83 nucleotides) under uncultured Bacteroides sp. RNAcentral describes it as "Bacteroides-1 RNA". It matches the Rfam family "Bacteroides-1 RNA". Lineage: Bacteria; Pseudomonadati; Bacteroidota; Bacteroidia; Bacteroidales; Bacteroidaceae. The record is from RNAcentral.
AUGCUAAUCGGCCUGAACGACCUCUUAUAGGUAUGUGAAUAUAUAUAAUCGGUACAUAUGCCUCCCCGGCAUAACAGGUAAGA